UGCGUAGGCGGAUUAAUAAGUCAGUGGUGAAAUCUUUCGGCUCAACCGAGAAACUGCCAUUGAUACUGUUAAUCUUGAGUUCGGUUGAGGUAGGCGGAAUGUGUAAUGUAGCGGUGAAAUGCUUAGAUAUUACACAGAACACCAAUUGCGUAGGCAGCUUACUAGACCGACACUGACGCUGAGGCACGAAAGCAUGGGGAGCGAACAGGAUUAGAUACCCUGGUAGUCC
This 229-nucleotide ribosomal RNA is filed under the name uncultured bacterium. RNAcentral's name for it is "partial 16S ribosomal RNA". It matches the Rfam family "Bacterial small subunit ribosomal RNA", at positions 568 to 796 of the family's 1533-position model. The record is from RNAcentral.